Cyprinus carpio carpio is the source of this 2092-nucleotide long non-coding RNA. Lineage: Eukaryota; Metazoa; Chordata; Actinopteri; Cypriniformes; Cyprinidae. The record is from Ensembl.
GUCGCGGCCAAUACAGCCUCUGAUAAAGUGAGCAACGGACUGAAGAGAAUCUCUUCAGAGUUGUCAGUUUGUGCAUCAGCAGCAAUGCCAAGAGACUCCCAAAGCUCUGAUAACAGGGACUCGGUGAAAGAGGGAAACCAUUCCCUCAAGGAGCAUGUUGAGGAAUUCCUUGGUCUCGUCAAUCAGACCACGUUCCAGGGUGACUGCCUGUGCACGUUCCUGCACGCUGGACUGAACACCGCCACCGCCAACACAGUUGUCUGGGGAGGGUCCUCAAGGGAGCUUCGCCCACUAUGUGGAGUGGGUGCUGGUUUCCCAUGGAUCAGUCUUUACCAUUAAGGACAUUACCAGUCCCAAUCCAAACCCAGUGCCCAGCCAGUCACAGAGCGUCUGUCAGAGCCCACCAUUGAUGGAGAGCCAGAGCCCUUCGGGAGAAGAAGCAACUGAUCCUGCCAUCAGCCUAGAGCCUGAGCUGAUUACCAUGUCUGAAUAGGUGUGUUUGAGCCAGUAAAGGCCCAUAUAUACUUCAAGAGAAAUCGAAAAGCGAACUGAUGUCACGUCAUUUUGAACAAAAUCCAUCCAAAACAAAGUUUGAAAUGGCUUGCCAAAGCGAACUUUCCAGAAAAGUUUGUUCCAGCUGCAAAACACCUUCGUACUACCAUUGGUCUGUGACGAUUACAUCAUAGGAGGUGUAUGCUGAGGCUCCGCCUUCUUUCACAUGGAACUCUUCUCUCAGUUCAUUUCGUCUGUUGAGUCCUUGGAGGUGAGAUGUCCACAGUAAACGCAGCGAAGAGCCGCUUUAUAGUAGCAAAUUAAGUUGUAAUUCUGAUGAAAUGAGAAAGGGUUUUCAUGUUUAAUACUGCUCCUUGCUUUUAAGCAAUAUAUUGAAUAAAGUGCUAUGUAAAUACAUAUGAGGUGACUUUACAGGAGUGCUAAUUUACAGAGCUUUUUAUAAAACAUACUUUCUGUUCUCUACAUUUUUGUGUUUUUGUUACUGAGAGGAAAGCGUGUACAUAUUCAUAUAAACGUUGCUUUCAUCAGAGUGGACGGUGUUGGGAUGUUCGCUAACAGUUACUACUUCUCACGUAUUUCGAUCUUCAUUUUAGCCUUAAACGAAGAACAAUCACGAACUUUGUUUUCAGUAUAUCGGGGCCUUAACACUGCAGGUACCGGAGGGAAUUCUUGUGGAAUUUGAGGGUAUGGAUGGAUUUCCUGUUCCCAUCACACCUUGGCUCCUCCCUCCAGUGACUCCACCAUGGAGCACAGUCCUGGCUGUGUAUGUAUGUGUGUGUGUGUGUGUGUGUGUGUGUGUGUGUGUGUGUGUGUGUGUGUGUGUGUGUGAACACAGAAAAUCUAAAAAUAAUAUAAACUGGAAAACAACAACAACAACAAAAAGAAAAAAAAAAUCAUUUUGCAUUGAUUAAUUGAAAAUAAAAUAUAAAAUUAAUAAUCCAGUGAGUCCUUUAUGAUAUAUAAGAGAAAUACUUUUUUCUGAUCUGAAGAAAUUUUCAAAAGGUAAAAUGUCAUACACAGAAAACACAAUGUGCUCUUUUCAUGAGGACAUUAUAUGAAAAACAGACCAUCACUCUAUGACAGAUUUCCAUGAAAUCAUACAUUUUGUAUGAGGUACAAAAAAGGUUAGAGAUUCCAUCACACAAAACUAAUAUUUACCUGCAUGACCAGUGUUUGCUCCAUCACACACGGCUGUUUCCUUUACAAGCAAGACCAUUUGAAAGGGGUUGUAAACUGCUUUUUUCACUUAUAAUGUUAGUUGAAUUUCUACAUUAAAAACUGUCUAAUAAUAAUUGUUCCUAAAAAAAAGUGCCCAAGCCAUGGCCUAAGCCGUCAAACUGACAUCAUCAGAGAAGGAAUGCCAUUCCAGAGUGGUAGCAAAUGUUCAGAUUUUGAUUACAGAUUACCAAGACAAAAAUUUUUCACUCAUACUUACACUCACACUUUCACAGACUCGCUCUUUCUCACACACACGCACAUACACACACAUAUUAGUAGCAGUCCCAGACAGUAGGAGGACAGAGUGAAGGUACACAUGACCUAAAAUGUCCGCACUUUAUUAGCCCUGGGUCCAUUGGAC